Molecule: long non-coding RNA, 274 nt
Organism: Argiope bruennichi
Lineage: Eukaryota; Metazoa; Arthropoda; Arachnida; Araneae; Araneidae
Exons: 3
Source: RefSeq, a predicted model, not a curated record
UGGAAAUGAAUGAGUUGCCGUCUUUUUGCUAAUCAACCUAACUUAAACAUGUUUCAACAAAGGGAAAGGCUUAAGAAAAGGAAAUACUUAGAAAAGAAAAUAAGGAUUUCAGAAUAGGACGAAGAUUUAAUACAUCCAUUAUAAAAUUCCAGAAUAAGCGGUGCAAAAGUUUGAAAACGGAUGAAUUCAAAGGAAUCUCAUUUUUUCCAUUUUGGAAAAACAACUUUUCCAAUAAUGAAAUGUAACCAUUCAGUGCAUGUUGUUUAAUAAUAAA